CAUGUGGAACGGGGUUUACAUCAACGUCCCGACCUUCUACAACACCGUUUUCAAGGGCAAGAUUGUCACAGACAAGGGCAGAACAACGUAUAUCGAUCCUUAUAACAGAAUAUCUACAUUCGCCUGCCGGUUUCUGAACUAGAAUCAAUCCGUAAGUCAGACAACAAGAAGAGGAGGCAUGCAAAGUUAAUAGCAGUAUCGGUUGCUGUGGGAAUUCUGAUAUCUAUCUUAUCCUGUGGAGCUAUAGUUAUAGUGAGACGACGGAGGAGAAGAGGAAGAAAAUAUGAGGAUUUAGAGUUACCUCUAUUCAGUUUCGCGACAAUAGCUGCUGCAACAGACAACUUCUCCGAGGAAAGCAUGAUUGGAGAAGGAGGUUUUGGCCCUGUUUGCAAGGGAAAAUUAUCAGCGGGCGAAGAAAUAGCAGUCAAGAGGCUGUCGGGAACGUCAAGACAAGGUCUUGAAGAGUUCAAGAACGAGGUUAUUCUGUUUGCUAAACUACAGCAUACCAACCUAGUCAGACUUUUGGGAUGUUGCAUUAAAGGAGACGAAAGGAUGCUGAUCUACGAGUACCUGCGGAAUAGAAGCCUCGAUUAUCUCCUUUUCGAUCAUAGCAGGAAAGAGAGCUCACGUGGCCUAAUUGGUACAACAUUAUUCUGGGAAUCGCGCGCGGACUACUCUAUCUCCACCGCGAUUCCAGAUUAAAGAUAAUCCACAGAGAUCUCAAUACGAGCAAUGUUUUACUGGACGAAAAUCUGAAUCCGAAGAUUUCAGAUUUUGGCCUAGCAAGGACUUUUAGAAGCGACCAUUUUAUGGCCAGAACUAGAAGAGUUGUCGGGACAUAGUAAGCUUUCUUAUCAUUCUAUUCAUGAAAUUGCGAAAUCAAUUAUCUCAUUUCCCAACACGACAACUUUGUUUAGUGGCUACAUGGCACCAGAAUAUGCAAUUGACGGGCAAUUUUCAGUGAAGUCGGACGUCUAUAGCUUUGGAGUCAUGAUACUGGAGAUAGUUGGGGGUAAAAAGAAUAGAGGAUUUAACCAUCACGUCCAUGAUCAUAGUCUUUUGGGACAUCAUUUUUGUAGGCAUGGUUGCUGUGGAAAGAUUGCAAAGUGCUAGAAUUGAUGGAUGAAAGUUUGAUUGAUACCUUUGUUGAACCUCAAGUGAAGCGGUGCAUACAAGUGGGCUUACUUUGCGUCCAGAAGCUCGCGG
Molecule: non-coding RNA, 1206 nt
Organism: Salvia hispanica
Lineage: Eukaryota; Viridiplantae; Streptophyta; Magnoliopsida; Lamiales; Lamiaceae
Source: RefSeq, a predicted model, not a curated record